RNAcentral lists this transfer RNA (114 nucleotides) under Nemania serpens. RNAcentral describes it as "tRNA-Glu". The record is from RNAcentral. Lineage: Eukaryota; Fungi; Ascomycota; Sordariomycetes; Xylariales; Xylariaceae.
UCCGAAUUGGUGUAGUGGCUAACAUUUGACGCUCUCAUUUCGCAUCAACAUACACACCAGUCUGUGAUGCGGUGCAGUGCCGUCAAGCCCGGGGUUCGAUUCCCCGAUUCGGAG